CGACCGGCGCACGGGUGAGGUAACACGUAUCCAACCUGACCGAUGACUCGGGAUAGCCUUUCGAAAGAAAGAUUAAUACCCGAUGGCAUAGUUCUUCCGCAUGGUAGAACUAUUAAAGAAUUUCGGUCAUCGAUGGGGAUGCGUUCCAUUGGCUUGUUGGCGGGGUAACGGGCCCACCCAAGGCAUCGAUGGAUAGGGGUUCUGAGAGGAAGGUCCCCCACAUUGGAACUGAGACACGGUCCAAACUCCUACGGAAGGCAGCAG
This 264-nucleotide ribosomal RNA is filed under the name uncultured bacterium. RNAcentral's name for it is "partial 16S ribosomal RNA". It matches the Rfam family "Bacterial small subunit ribosomal RNA", at positions 92 to 354 of the family's 1533-position model. The record is from RNAcentral.